GAUGAAGAACGUAGUGAAAUGCGAUAAUUAAUGUGAAUUGCAGAAUUCAGUGAAUCAUCGAGUCUUUGAACGCACAUUGCGCCCCCUGGUAUUCCGGGGGGCAUGCCUGUCCGAGCGUCAUUGCUGCCCUCAAGCACGGCUUGUGUGUUGGGCUUCCGUCCCUGGCAACGGGGACGGGCCCAAAAGGCAGUGGCGGCACCAUGUCUGGUCCUCGAGCGUAUGGGGCUUUGUCACCCGCUCCCGUAGGUCCAGCUGGCAGCUAGCCUCGCAACCAAUCUUUUUAACCAGGUUGACCUCGGAUCAGGUAGGGAUACCCGCUGAACUUAAGCAUAUCAAUAAGCGUAGGA
RNAcentral lists this unclassified non-coding RNA (347 nucleotides) under soil metagenome. RNAcentral's name for it is "partial contains 5.8S ribosomal RNA, internal transcribed spacer 2, and large subunit ribosomal RNA". The stretch from base 1 to 120 matches the Rfam family "5.8S ribosomal RNA", at positions 35 to 154 of the family's 154-position model. The record is from RNAcentral.